This 343-nucleotide long non-coding RNA is filed under the name Vigna radiata. Its description in RNAcentral is "long non-coding RNA (VRAD_LNC011217)". Lineage: Eukaryota; Viridiplantae; Streptophyta; Magnoliopsida; Fabales; Fabaceae. The record is from RNAcentral.
CGUUGCUGGGUACUCGUGGUUUAACUAUUCUAUUUGUGUGAUUAUUGAUUAACUUCGACUUGAUUUUUUUUAUUUUUUUUUGUUUAAUGCUAACAAUUUUUUCUAGGGUUUUGUGCCUAAUGCUUGCAGGAUGCAAUUCGGGCAAGAAUUUAAUUAUAUGGGCACUCAAUUCCACCAAGGUAAUCUCAACCACAGAUGGAACCUUCACUCAAGCAUGGGUCAAAGUCAAUGGCAGCAACAGCUCUCUCUAUCAUUAGAAAGAAUGGCAAAGAUGGAUGAAACACUUCAACAGUUGAUGCAGAUGUUUGUUUCUCAUCAUAAACGCACUGAAGUGGCAAUCAAA